GAUGAACGCUGGCGGCGUGCCUAAUACAUGCAAGUCGAGCGAACAGACGAGGAGCUUGCUCCUCUGACGUUAGCGGCGGACGGGUGAGUAACACGUGGAUAACCUACCUAUAAGACUGGGAUAACUUCGGGAAACCGGAGCUAAUACCGGAUAAUAUAUUGAACCGCAUGGUUCAAUAGUGAAAGACGGUUUUGCUGUCACUUAUAGAUGGAUCCGCGCCGCAUUAGCUAGUUGGUAAGGUAACGGCUUACCAAGGCAACGAUGCGUAGCCGACCUGAGAGGGUGAUCGGCCACACUAGAACUGAGACACGGACCAGACUCCUACGGGAGGCAGCAGUAGGGAAUCUUCCGCAGUAGGCGAAAGCCUGACGGAGCAGCGCCGCGUGAGUGAUGAAGGUCUUCGGAUCGUAAAACUCUGUUAUUAGGGAAGAACAAAUGUGUAAGUAACUAUGCACGUCUUGACGGUACCUAAUCAGAAAGCCACGGCUAACUACGUG
This 497-nucleotide ribosomal RNA is filed under the name uncultured bacterium. Its description in RNAcentral is "partial 16S ribosomal RNA". It matches the Rfam family "Bacterial small subunit ribosomal RNA", at positions 28 to 507 of the family's 1533-position model. The record is from RNAcentral.